RNAcentral lists this long non-coding RNA (841 nucleotides) under Setaria italica (foxtail millet). RNAcentral's name for it is "long non-coding RNA (SITA_LNC002061)". The record is from RNAcentral. Lineage: Eukaryota; Viridiplantae; Streptophyta; Magnoliopsida; Poales; Poaceae.
UAGCAAUCAUACCAUACCAAUAAGACAAGAAGACAUGGUAGCAUUAGAAUUUGACAAAAUGGAUAUAGGAUAAAAGAAAUAGCUAUCUCUUAAAUAAUUAAAAAUUACUGGUUCAAACAGGAAAAAAAAUCCUGAUGUCCCUGUGCUGACAGGUGAUAGAGGGGGUGAUCUAAAUCCUAACAACUUGAGGGGUGAAAGAAAUACACACAUGAGAGGCAAUGAGUUAGGCUACUCACUACUCAUACACGUAUCUUAUAAUGAAGAGAACAUUUACAUGUCUCUGCCACAAAAUACUGCAAAUAUGUACAUAAUUAGCAGAAAAAUGGUCACUCUUCAACAGAGUAUACACUUGUAGAGCAGAAAUGCAUAAGGCCUCCAGUCUGUUUGCUUGUGCAAGCUAAUUACAUGCAAGUAUCCAAAGUGUAUUUCACAAUUAAGCAAAUGAGCCUCUACACAUAUUGCAUUGCCUAGAAACAUGGGGACACCAAAAUAUCACAGGUUACCAACGACAUAUAAAAACAUGGGGAAUAUUUUUUUGCAGGAGCACCAAUAUUAGAACAGGACAUUAAUAAACGUACGAAUCAGAAAUUAGAAGGGAGCACGCACCGAUCUCCUGCGCGAGCAAGGUUCGCUCGCCUGCUUGCGUGCUCGCACAGGCCGCCUGAGACACAUAUUGCAUUGCCUAGAAACAUGGGGACACCAAAAUAUCACAGGUUACCAACGACAUAUAAAAACAUGGGGAAUAUUUUUUUGCAGGAGCACCAAUAUUAGAACAGGACAUUAAUAAACGUACGAAUCAGAAAUUAGAAGGGAGCACGCACCGAUCUCCUGCGCGAGCAAG